UAAGAAGAAAGGAUCUUUUUCAUUCACAG
Molecule: non-coding RNA, 29 nt
Filed under: Mus musculus (house mouse)
Lineage: Eukaryota; Metazoa; Chordata; Mammalia; Rodentia; Muridae
Source: RNAcentral